This 470-nucleotide ribosomal RNA is filed under the name uncultured bacterium. Its description in RNAcentral is "partial 16S ribosomal RNA". It matches the Rfam family "Bacterial small subunit ribosomal RNA", at positions 28 to 507 of the family's 1533-position model. The record is from RNAcentral.
GACGAACGCUGGCGGCGUGCUUAACACAUGCAAGUCGAACGGUGAACGAGGGAGCUUGCUCCCUCCGGAUCAGUGGCGAACGGGUGAGUAACACGUGAGCAAUCUGCCCCGAACUCUGGGAUAAGCGUUGGAAACGACGUCUAAUACCGGAUACGACGCGGGAGGGCAUCCUCUCCGCGUGGAAAGAACUUCGGUUCGGGAUGAGCUCGCGGCCUAUCAGCUUGUUGGUGAGGUAACGGCUCACCAAGGCGACGACGGGUAGCCGGCCUGAGAGGGUGACCGGCCACACUGGGACUGAGACACGGCCCAGACUCCUACGGGAGGCAGCGGUGGGGAAUAUUGCACAAUGGGCGCAAGCCUGAUGCAGCAACGCCGCGUGAGGGACGACGGCCUUCGGGUUGUAAACCUCUUUUAGCAGGGAAGAAGCGAAAGUGACGGUACCUGCAGAAAAAGCACCGGCUAACUACGUG